GACUCUGGUUGCAAACAAUACUGUGCGAAGGAGCUAGGCCAAGAGCAAACCCAUCAGCAUUAAAGACUUUGUAUGAGAAAGACAGGGAGGGGGAUUAAGAUGAUGAAUACGAAGCGAGACUAGCUUGCAGCUCCCACUCAGAUGGACGGAGCAGUAUGGAGACUCACAUCGUGAACUUUUGCUCCAAGAACUACCACAGAAACAUACCAGGAAAGCCAAGAGAAUCCACAGACCCUUUGAAGAACUGGAUCACCCCUGCAAGCUCCCUGAGAUGCCAAAAAACUGUGAGUCUGCUUGCUUUCUCAAUGGGGAGGCUCAUGGUCUAGGGCAAGUUCUCGGCCCUGGUCACCAGCUGCCUGGAAAUAGACUCGAUGCUGUUGUUGGGGAGCACAGUGGGAGUGAGACCAGCCGUUAGGACUGUGGGUUGCUUGGGAGUGGGGUGAGGCUUUUGAGUACUGGCUUUUCCCCCACUUCCCUGGUGACCUGUAUGACUCAGCAGAGGCAGCCAUAAUACCCCUGGGAGUAUAACUCCGCUGGACAGGGAAUCACACCCAUCCCCCACCACAGCCACAGCAAGCCCCAUCCAAGGAGAGGCUGAGCUCAGAUACGCAUAUCCCUGCCCCCACCUGGUGAUUUUUCUCUACUUGCCCUGGUAGCCAAAGACAAAGGCUAUAAUUUCUUGGGAGCCCUAUGCCUCUGCCCACUACCUGAGAAACUUGAAUACAUAACCAAGUGUCUAUAGGGCAAGUUUUCAUCCUCUUUAUUGGACUUCAGCUGAUGCACUCUUGAAAGCUCCACCUUCUGGCUGGAGGCCAACAAACACAGAACCAGGGCACUAAACAAAAACACAACCAAGAACUCUCACAGGGUCCACUUCACUCCCCUGCUACCUCCACCAGAGCAGGUGCUGGUAUCCAUGGCUACAAGACCUGAAGACAGAUCACAUCACAGGACUCUGUGCAGGCACUCACCACUACCAGCCCAGAACCCUUAGCUCUGCUGGGUGGCUAGACCCAGAAGAGCAAAAACAAUCACUACAGUUCAAUUCUCAGGAAGCCCCUUUCCUAGAGGAAGGGAGAGAACACCACAUCAAGAAAGGACCCAAGAAAGAUAGACCAUAUGAUAGACUACAAAAAAGUCUCAGUAAAUUUAAGAAAAUCAAAAUUAUAUCAAGUACUUUCUCAGACCACAGUGGAAUAAAACUGGAAAUCAACUCCAGAAGAACCCCUCACAACCAAGCAGAUACAUGGAAAUUAAAUAACCUGCUCCUGAAUGAUUGCUGGGUUAACAAUGAAAUCAAGAUGGAAAUUUAAAAAUUCUUUGAACUGAACAAUAAUAGUGACACAACCUAUGAAAACCUCUGAGAUAACAGCAAAAGCAGUGCUAAGAGGAAAGUUCAUAGCAUUAAAUGCCUAUAUCAAAACGUCUGAAAGAGCACAAAUAGACAAUCUAAGGUCACACCUCACAAAACUAGAGAAACAAGAACAAUCCAAACCCAAACCCAGCAGAAGAAAAGAAAUAA
Molecule: long non-coding RNA, 1522 nt
Organism: Homo sapiens (human)
Lineage: Eukaryota; Metazoa; Chordata; Mammalia; Primates; Hominidae
Source: Ensembl